AAAAGCGAAUAAGGGCGUCUGGUGGAUGCCUAGGUGUCAAGUGCCGAUGAAGGACGUGGUACACCACGAAAGGCCCCGGUGAGGCGUGUGCAGCCGCAAACAGCCGGGGGUGUCCGAAUGGGGAAACCCACCCUGAGGAAAGUCAGGGUACGCCGCAAGGCGAGGGAACCGGGUGAAGUGAAACAUCUCAGUAGCCCGAGGAAAAGAAAGGAUUCCGCGAGUAGUGGCGAGCGAAAGCGGAAAAGCCUAAACCGUUCUCCGAGGAGGACGGGGUUGUAGGACCUGGAGAAAGACCCGUUAACGAAGCCGAAGGCUCUGGGAAGAGCCACCGCAGAGGGUGAGAGUCCCGUAGGCGCAGAGCGCGGGUUGGCCGGGGAUCCUGAGUACCACAGGACACGAGAAAUCCGGUGGGAAGCUGGGCAGACCACUGUCCAAGGCUAAAUACACUUGAGGACCGAUAGCGCACAAGUACGGUGACGGAAAGGUGAAAAGAACCCCGGCGAGGGGAGUGAAAGAGAAUCUGAAACCGGACGCUUACAAACGGUCAGAGCCUCCGCAAGGGGGUGAUGGCGUGCCUUUUGGAGAAUGAGCCAGCGAGUUCAUAUUUGUGGCAAGCUUAAGGGAGAGACACCCGGAGGCGAAGCGAAAGCGAGUCUGAACAGGGCGCAACAGUCGCAAGGAUGAGACACGAAACCAGGUGAGCUACGCAUGGUCAGGGUGAAAGCACGGUAACACGUGCGGGAGGCCCGAACUCACGUCUGCUGCAAAAGACGGGGAUGAACUGUGUGUAGGGGUGAAAUGCCAAACGAACUUGGAGAUAGCUUGUUCUCCCCGAAAUAGCUUUAGGGCUAGCGUUGUGUGGAAACUACCGGAGGUAAAGCUCUGGAUGGGCUAGGGGCCAGUGCGGUUACCGAACCCAACCAAACUAUGAAUGCCGGUAGGGGAGCACGGCAGUCGGACGGUGGGAGAUGAGUUUCAUCGUCGAGAGGGAAACAACCCAGACCCACGGCUAAGGUCCUGGAGUGCGUGCUAAGUGGGAAACGAUGUGGUCGUGUCGAGACAGCCAGGAGGUUGGCUUAGAAGCAGCCACCCUUGAAAGAGUGCGUAACAGCUCACUGGUCGAACGCGAUUGCGCGGAAAAUGUAACGGGGCUAAAGCACGCCACCGAAGCCUGGGAUGCUGAUAAAGCGUAGUAGGGGAGCGUUCUGUCGGCGGAGAAGGCAGUCUGGCAAGGACUGUUGGAGCGGGCAGAAGUGAGAAUGCUGGCAUGAGUAGCGAAAAACAUGUGAGAAUCAUGUUCGCCGAACGUCUAAGGUUUCCGACGGAAGGUUGGUCCGCGUCGGGUUAGUCGGGCCUAAGCCGAGGCUGAGAAGCGUAGGCGAUGGACAACGGGUGAAUAAUCCCGUACCAGGUGUGGGAGCGCAUUUGUACCUCGUGGGAAGGCUCAGCCUCUGAGUGGAUGGAGGUGGUAAGCGGGUAACACCCGUGAUGCCGUGCCGCAAGGCAGGAAGUGAGCGGGACCUACGGGCAAGAAAAGACAAGUGGGCGAUGAAAGCACCUGACCGUACCACAAACCGACACAGGUAGACGAGUUGAGUAUACGCAGGCGAACGGGAGAACCCUCGUUAAGGAACUCGGCAAAAUGGCCCCGUAACUUCGGGAGAAGGGGCGCCGCGAAGAGCGGCCGCAGUGAAAAGGCUCUAUCGACUGUUUACCAAAAACACAGGUCUCUGCCAACCCGUAAGGGGACGUAUAGGGGCUGACACCUGCCCAGUGCCGGAAGGUUAAGAGGAGGGGUCAGGCGCAAGCCGAAGCUCUGAAUUGAAGCCCCGGUGAACGGCGGCCGUAACUAUAACGGUCCUAAGGUAGCGAAAUUCCUUGUC
This 1883-nucleotide ribosomal RNA is filed under the name hypolithon metagenome. RNAcentral describes it as "bacterial LSU rRNA". It matches the Rfam family "Bacterial large subunit ribosomal RNA", at positions 1 to 1973 of the family's 2925-position model. The record is from RNAcentral.